RNAcentral lists this unclassified non-coding RNA (263 nucleotides) under Hevea brasiliensis (rubber tree). The record is from RNAcentral. Lineage: Eukaryota; Viridiplantae; Streptophyta; Magnoliopsida; Malpighiales; Euphorbiaceae.
GAAUCCUUCUAUACAUUGCGCAAGGUAAACUUAAUUUUUUGUAAUUUGUGAGUUGAUAUUAUGUAUGCAUGCAUGUCUAUAACCUGAAAAUGUGUUAGCUUUGGCAAUGGAUUGCUUGAUACAUAUGGUGCCUACUGCACAAUAAUUUGCAAGUUAAACAGAGCAUUUAGGAUCUUAAUUUUUAAAGGCGCUUUCUUUUGCUUCUAAAAAGAUCUAAAUAACAAGCAUGUAAAUGGAACAAGUAAAAAACGUGACUAGUAAAU